RNAcentral lists this ribosomal RNA (386 nucleotides) under uncultured soil bacterium. Its description in RNAcentral is "bacterial SSU rRNA". It matches the Rfam family "Bacterial small subunit ribosomal RNA", at positions 81 to 503 of the family's 1533-position model. The record is from RNAcentral.
UAGCAAUACGGCAGCGGCAGACGGGAUAGUAACACGUGGGAACGCGCCCUUCGGUUCGGAAUAACUCAGGGAAACUUGAGCUAAUACCGGAUACGCCCUAACGGGGAAAGAUUUAUUGCCGAAGGAACGGCCCGCGUCCGAUUAGCUAGUUGGUGAGGUAAUGGCUCACCAAGGCGACGAUCGGUAGCUGGUCUGAGAGGAUGACCAGCAUCACUGGGACUGAGACACGGCCCAGACUCCUACGGGAGGCAGCAGUGGGGAAUAUUGGACAAUGNGCGCAAGCCUGAUCCAGCCAUGCCGCGUGGAUGAUGAAGGCCCUAGGGUUGUAAAGUCCUUUUAACGGGGAAGAUAAUGACGGUACCCGUGGAAUAAGCCCCGGCUAACUU